AUCAGCAGUUGAGCACUCCAGCCCUUCGUCAGCUGAUAAAACACACUGACGGAGGGCAAAAGAUGAAAUUGGACUAAUAUAAAGACUAGAAAGUCCCUGAUUUAAAAGGAUAAACUGGAAAAAGAGAGAAGCAGAAGUUUACUACGUGAUCCUGCGUUAUCGACGUGGAAGAUCUAGGUCUUGUAAACCCGUGUGGUCAAAAAGCUUGAAAGUCUUUUAUUAGCUUGAGGAUUUUAAAAGUCUAUUUUUGAACUAAUAGAUUCUCUCUGUCCUUUUACGGAGAAGAAGCACUCAUGUACAUCAAGACAUGAAGAGCAAUAUCAUUCCCAGCUAUUGUUACACAUCGAGGCCUGUGUGUCUGUACAGUGCACACGGAUGUGGAGGUAGAGAGCAGGGCCGAACUGACAUAGAGACUGAAGGAGAGAUGCCCAUCAGGCUCCCUUAAAGGAACAGUUCAAAAACAAAACUCAUCAUCAUUUAUUCACCUUCAUGUUGUUCCAAACAUAAAUGAUUUACUUUCUUCCAUGAAAUACAAUGACAUUCAAUGUCAGCACAAAAAAUAAAUAAAUAAAUCCAUGUGACUUGUGUUCUGUAUUUAAAGUCUCUUUUCAGAAUUAAUAAUUUUCAACUGCUGUGACUGAAUCAUUGAAUCAGUGAAAUGAAUCAGUUUGAUUCAUGAACAGAUUAUUGCUCAAACGGAAGUAUGAACCGCUCACAGAUGAACCGAUUCUUUAUCAAAGAUUUGGUUCAAAAGAAAAAUUCAUUGACAAAUUUGGCAUCACUAUUAUCUGAUUAUCCCUACACUCUUAAAAAGAGAAG
Molecule: long non-coding RNA, 819 nt
Organism: Carassius gibelio (silver crucian carp)
Lineage: Eukaryota; Metazoa; Chordata; Actinopteri; Cypriniformes; Cyprinidae
Exons: 3
Source: RefSeq, a predicted model, not a curated record